AGCGAACGCUGGCGGCAGGCCUAACACAUGCAAGUCGAACGAACCUUUCGGGGUUAGUGGCGGACGGGUGAGUAACACGUGGGAACGUGCCUUUAGGUUCGGAAUAACUCAGGGAAACUUGUGCUAAUACCGAAUGUGCCCUUCGGGGGAAAGAUUAAUAGCCGUUAGAGCGGCCCGCGUCUGAUUAGCUAGUUGGUUGAGGUAAUGGCUCACCAAGGCGACGAUCAGUAGCUGGUCUGAGAGGAUGAUCAGCCACAUUGGGACGGAGACACGGCCCAAAAUCCUACGGGAGGGAGCAGUGGGGAAUCUUGCGCAAUGGGCGGAAGGCUGACGCAGCCAUGCCGGGUGAAUGAUGAAGGUCUUAGGGUUGUAAAGUUCUUUCACCGGGGACGAUAAUGACGGUACCCGGAGAAGAAGCCCCGGCUAACUUCGUG
Molecule: ribosomal RNA, 434 nt
Filed under: uncultured bacterium
Lineage: Bacteria
Description: partial 16S ribosomal RNA
Rfam family: Bacterial small subunit ribosomal RNA
Source: RNAcentral